UACGAAGGGGGCUAGCGUUGUUCGGAAUCACUGGGCGUAAAGGGUGCGCAGGCGGGUUCGUCAGUCUGGGGUGAAAUCCCGAGGCUCAACCUCGGAACUGCCCUUAAUACUGCGGAUCUUGAGUCCGGAAGAGGUGGGUGGAACUGCGAGUGUAGAGGUGAAAUUCGUAGAUAUUCGCAAGAACACCGGUGGCGAAGGCGGCCCACUGGUCCGGAACUGACGCUGAGGCACGACAGCGUGGGGAGCAAACAGG
This 253-nucleotide ribosomal RNA is filed under the name uncultured bacterium. RNAcentral's name for it is "partial 16S ribosomal RNA". It matches the Rfam family "Bacterial small subunit ribosomal RNA", at positions 524 to 776 of the family's 1533-position model. The record is from RNAcentral.